This 253-nucleotide ribosomal RNA is filed under the name uncultured bacterium. RNAcentral's name for it is "partial 16S ribosomal RNA". It matches the Rfam family "Bacterial small subunit ribosomal RNA", at positions 524 to 776 of the family's 1533-position model. The record is from RNAcentral.
GACGAACCGUCCAAACGUUAUUCGGAAUCACUGGGCUUAAAGGGCGCGUAGGCGGGCGAGCAAGUCUAUGGUGAAAUACCCCGGCUUAACCGGGGAACUGCCGUGGAUACUGCUUGUCUCGAGGAGGGUAGGGGCAUCUGGAACAGCCGGUGGAGCGGUGAAAUGCGUUGAUAUCGGCUGGAACUCCGGUGGCGAAGGCGAGAUGCUGGACCCUUUCUGACGCUGAGGCGCGAAAGCCAGGGGAGCGAACGGG